RNAcentral lists this ribosomal RNA (519 nucleotides) under uncultured eukaryote. RNAcentral's name for it is "bacterial SSU rRNA". It matches the Rfam family "Eukaryotic small subunit ribosomal RNA", at positions 1161 to 1617 of the family's 1831-position model. The record is from RNAcentral.
AGGGCACCACCAGGAGUGGAGCCUGCGGCUUAAUUUGACUCAACACGGGAAAACUCACCCGGCCCGGACACUGGAAGGAUUGACAGAUUGAGAGCUCUUUCUUGAUUCAGUGGGUGGUGGUGCAUGGCCGUUCUUAGUUGGUGGAGUGAUUUGUCUGGUUAAUUCCGAUAACGAACGAGACUCUAGCCUACUAAAUAGUCGCGGGCGUUCUCGUACCGCCCGUCGGCUUCUUAGAGGGACAGGCGGCGUCUUAGCCGCAUGAGAAAGAGCAAUAACAGGUCUGUGAUGCCCUUAGAUGUCCGGGGCUGCACGCGCGCUACACUGAAAUAAUCAGCGCGCAUGCACCCGCCUACACCGAAAGGGGGCGUGAAACGAACAGAACGUCUUCUUUUUAGAGGGACGGGCGGGCGUUCUUAUUCCGCAUGAGAGAGAGCAAUGAACACGGACGAGUGAUGCCAUUAGAGUGUCAGGGGGAUUUCUCGAAACAUUAACCAGAAGUAAUUAAACGGGAAUAGCUGG